GGAAUUUUCCGCAAUGGGCGAAAGCCUGACGGAGCAACGCCGCGUGAGGGAUGAAGGCCUCUGGGCUGUAAACCUCUUUUAUCAAGGAAGAAGAUCUGACGGUACUUGAUGAAUAAGCCACGGCUAAUUCCGUGCCAGCAGCCGCGGUAAUACGGGAGUGGCAAGCGUUAUCCGGAAUUAUUGGGCGUAAAGCGUCCGCAGGCGGUCUUUUAAGUCUGUCGUCAAAGCGUGGAGCUUAACUCCAUUUCUGCGAUGGAAACUGGGAGACUAGAGUGUGGUAGGGGCAGAGGGAAUUCCCGGUGUAGCGGUGAAAUGCGUAGAUAUCGGGAAGAACACCAGUGGCGAAGGCGCUCUGCUGGGCCAUAACUGACGCUCAUGGACGAAAGCCAGGGGAGCGAAAGGGAUUAGAUACCCCUGUAGUCCUGGCCGUAAACGAUGAACACUAGGUGUCGGGGGGAUCGACCCCCUCGGUGUCGUAGCCAACGCGUUAAGUGUUCCGCCUGGGGAGUACGCACGCAAGUGUGAAACUCAAAUGAAUUGACGG
RNAcentral lists this ribosomal RNA (544 nucleotides) under uncultured bacterium. RNAcentral's name for it is "bacterial SSU rRNA". It matches the Rfam family "Bacterial small subunit ribosomal RNA", at positions 358 to 916 of the family's 1533-position model. The record is from RNAcentral.